AUGGCCGAGCCCUCCAGGGUGAUCCACAUCCGGAACGUCGGGCAUGAGAUCUCCGAGACUGACCUGCUCCAGGUGGUGCAGCCGUUUGGCGCGGUCGCCAAGCUCGUCAUGCUGCGCACCAAGAACCAGGCCCUUGUCCAGAUGGAGGACCUGUCUGCUUCAAUCAGCGCCAUCCAAUACUACACUACAAUUCAACCUAGCGUGAGGGGAAGAAACGUAUACUUGCAGUACUCAUCUCACCAGGAACUGACUACUGAUCAGAGCUCUCAUGGACGGAAUCCUGAUCAGGAUGAACCCAACCGAAUUCUCUUAGUUACCGUUCAUCAUAUGCUCUAUCCUAUGACCGUCGAAGUGCUUCAUCAAGUGUUUUCCCCUUAUGGAUUUGUGGAGAAGAUUGUCACAUUUCAAAAGACUGCUGGUUUUCAAGCCCUUAUACAGUUUCAGUCACGCCAGAGUGCAAUACAAGCAGCUGGUGCUUUGCAUGGACGGAACAUUUAUGAUGGUUGCUGCCAGCUAGAUAUUCAGUACUCAAAUCUCAGCGAGUUGCAAGUUCACUACAACAAUGAUAGAUCUAGAGAUUUCACAAAUCCUUCUUUGCCCACAGAGCAACGUCCAAGAUCCUCUCAGCUUGGUUAUAAUGAUCCUAGCCUUUUUGGUUUCCAACAGCCUGGAGCUGCAUAUGGACAGGCUGCAGUGAUUGCUGCUGCAUUUGGCGGAACAUUGCCUCCUGGAGUGACUGGUACCAAUGAUCGCUGUACACUUAUAGUUAGCAACUUGAACAGUGAUAAAAUCGAUGCGGAUAAGCUCUUCAAUCUAUUUUCUAUUUAUGGAAAUAUAGUGAGAAUCAAGGUACUCCGCAACAAACCAGACCAUGCCCUUGUCCAGAUGGCUGAUGGGCUUCAGGCUGAGCUUGCUAUACACUAUUUAAAGGGAGCAAUGUUACUUGGACAGAAACUGGAAGUGAACUUCUCUAAGUACCCGAGUAUUACCCCCGCUCCUGAUGCACAUGACUACUCAACCUCCAAUCUUAACCGGUUCAACAGUAAUGUGGCGAAGAACUACCGCCAUUGCUGUGCUCCGACCAAGAUCAUCCACAUCUCAGCGCUUUCACCAGAGAUUUCUGAGGACGCAAUCCUUGAACACCUAGGUGAGCAUGGCACCAUCAUCAAGUCAAAGCUGUUUGAGGCGAGCGGCAAGACGCAGGCUCUUGUGCAGUUUGAGAGCGAGGAAGAGGCGACCGAAGCGCUGGUCUGUAAGCAUGCGAGCAAGCUCGAGGGAUCCACCAUUAGGAUUUCUUUCUCCCAGAUGCAUAACAUAUAG
RNAcentral lists this ribosomal RNA (1320 nucleotides) under Triticum aestivum (bread wheat). RNAcentral describes it as "partial small subunit ribosomal RNA". Lineage: Eukaryota; Viridiplantae; Streptophyta; Magnoliopsida; Poales; Poaceae. The record is from RNAcentral.